RNAcentral lists this transfer-messenger RNA (346 nucleotides) under Eubacteriales. RNAcentral's name for it is "Woodwardibium gallinarum Standard tmRNA". It matches the Rfam family "transfer-messenger RNA". From Rfam's summary of the family: Bacterial tmRNA, also known as 10Sa RNA or SsrA, is named for its dual tRNA and mRNA-like properties. Its role is to liberate the mRNA from a stalled ribosome. The record is from RNAcentral. Lineage: Bacteria; Bacillati; Bacillota; Clostridia. RNAcentral also lists the same sequence under 1 other name.
GGGGGCGUAAAGGUUUCGACGGGGAUUCUGAGAUACGGUAAGCGAGCAGAAGCGCACAUCUUCUAUAAAAUGUGCAAAUUCAAAAUUAAACUCUAACAACAACAGAGCUUUAGCGGCCUAACGCCGCCGUCAUGCCGGAGAGGACUACGACUCCGGAUAUGGCGCGACACAGUAGUGAACGUGAACGGGACAAAGCUUUGCGCCCCGUCAUGAACUUAUGAAGCUACCCGACCCGGCAGCCUUCCGUUCGGCGUCCGGAGAGGGGAAUGCAAAAGAACGGAUACGCUCGUAGAAAGCUGUGUCAAGGGGUUUUCGGACAGGAGUUCGAUUCUCCUCGCCUCCACCA